Biomphalaria pfeifferi is the source of this 258-nucleotide non-coding RNA. Lineage: Eukaryota; Metazoa; Mollusca; Gastropoda; Planorbidae. The record is from the annotation of a GenBank genome assembly.
UGCGUGAGAACACUAAUAUACUAAACUCUCCAACGACAACAUUUAGAAUUAUUAAUAAACACGCUGGUAGCAGACAUGGAUUUUAUUCACAUAAUAAGAAUGAAAUAGUUCACAAAAGAUAUUGGCAACUUCAGCCAUUACAACAUAUACAUCCCGUUUCUCAAUUAAUCCAACGAAAAAUGUUCUGAGUACACAAUCAUAAUUACUUCAAUACUUAGGCAUUAAAAACGAGGAAAUCGUAACGCUCCUCUCUCUACA